GAAAUGCGAUACGUAAUGUGAAUUGCAGAAUUCAGUGAAUCAUCGAAUCUUUGAACGCACAUUGCGCCCGCCAGCAUUCUGGCGGGCAUGCCUGUCCGAGCGUCAUUUCAACCCUCAGGCCCAGCCUGGCGUUGGGGCACCGCGCAGCGCGCGCGGGCCCUGAAAUACAGUGGCGAGCCCGCCUGGACUCCGAGCGUAGUAGCACAUACCCUCGCUCAGGGCGUCCAGGCGCGCGUCUGCCGUAAAACCCCCAACUUACAAAGGUUGACCUCGGAUCAGGUAGGAAUACCCGCUGAACUUAA
RNAcentral lists this unclassified non-coding RNA (302 nucleotides) under uncultured Calosphaeriales. RNAcentral's name for it is "sequence contains ITS1". The stretch from base 1 to 105 matches the Rfam family "5.8S ribosomal RNA", at positions 50 to 154 of the family's 154-position model. The record is from RNAcentral. Lineage: Eukaryota; Fungi; Ascomycota; Sordariomycetes.